UGAGGAAUAUUGCACAAUGGGCGCAAGCCUGAUGCAGCGACGCCGCGUGUGGGAUGAAGGGGCUACGCCUCGUAAACCACUGUAGCCCGGGACGAAAAACGCCUUAGAGGCGUUAGACGGUACCGGGAAAGUAAGGGUCGGCUAACUACGUGCCAGCAGCAGCGGUAAUACGUAGGAGGCUAGCGUUAUCCGGAUUUACUGGGCGUAAAGCGCAUGCAGGUGGUUUUGUAAGUUGGAUGUGAAAGCUCCUGGCUUAACUGGGAGAGGUCGUUCAAAACUACAAAACUUGAGAUUGGUAGAGGAAAAUGGAAUUCCGGGUGUAGUGGUGAAAUGCGUAGAUAUCCGGAGGAACACCAGUGGCGAAAGCGGUUUUCUGGACCAAUUCUGACACUCAGAUGCGAAAGCUAAGGUAGCAAACG
RNAcentral lists this ribosomal RNA (419 nucleotides) under uncultured bacterium. RNAcentral's name for it is "bacterial SSU rRNA". It matches the Rfam family "Bacterial small subunit ribosomal RNA", at positions 355 to 774 of the family's 1533-position model. The record is from RNAcentral.